RNAcentral lists this transfer RNA (67 nucleotides) under Mammut americanum (American mastodon). RNAcentral describes it as "tRNA-Arg". Lineage: Eukaryota; Metazoa; Chordata; Mammalia; Proboscidea; Mammutidae. The record is from RNAcentral. RNAcentral also lists the same sequence under 1 other name.
UGGUACUUAGUUUAGACAAAACAAAUGAUUUCGACUCAUUAGACUAUGAACAUAUCAUAAUUACCAA